Non-coding RNA from Ciona intestinalis (vase tunicate), 149 nucleotides. Lineage: Eukaryota; Metazoa; Chordata; Ascidiacea; Phlebobranchia; Cionidae. The record is from Rfam.
AUCGCUUCUCGGCUAUUUUAGCUGUGAUCAAGUGUAGUACCUGUUCUUCUCAGGGUGAAAUCUGAGACGGAAACGAUUCGUUUCCUCUAUAUUUCAUUCGGAUUUUUGAACACAGAGCACGGUAAUGAAGCUUGCUUCUACUGCUCCGG